RNAcentral lists this ribosomal RNA (253 nucleotides) under uncultured bacterium. Its description in RNAcentral is "partial 16S ribosomal RNA". It matches the Rfam family "Bacterial small subunit ribosomal RNA", at positions 524 to 776 of the family's 1533-position model. The record is from RNAcentral.
UACGUAGGGGGCAAGCGUUGUCCGGAAUUAUUGGGCGUAAAGAGCGUGUAGGCGGUCCGGUAAGUCAGCUGUGAAAGUCAAGGGCUCAACCCUUGAAUGCCGGUUGAUACUGUCGGGCUAGAGUCCGGAAGAGGCGAGUGGAAUUCCCGGUGUAGCGGUGAAAUGCGCAGAUAUAGGGAGGAACACCGGUGGCGAAGGCGGUUCUCUGGGCCUGACCUGACGCUGAGGAGCGAAAGCGUGGGGAGCGAACAGG